AGUGAACGCUGGCGGUAGGCCUAACACAUGCAAGUCGAACGGCAGCACAGUAAGCGCUUGCUCUUACGGGUGGCGAGUGGCGGACGGGUGAGGAAUACAUCGGAAUCUACUUUUUCGUGGAGGAUAACGUAGGGAAACUUACGCUAAUACCGCAUACGACCUACGGGUGAAAGCAGGGGAUCUUCGGACCUUGCGCGAUUGAAUUAGCCGAUGUCGGAUUAGCUAGUUGGCUGGGUAAAGGCCCACCAAGGCGACGAUCCGUAGCUGGUCUGAGAGGAUGAUCAGCCACACUGGAACUGAGACACGGUCCAGACUCCUACGGGAGGCAGCAGUGGGGAAUAUUCGACAAUGGGCGCAAGCCUGAUCCAGCAAUACCGCGUGGGUGAAGAAGGCCUUCGGGUUGUAAAGCCCUUUUGUUGGGAAAGAAAAGCAGCAGGUUAAUACCCCGCUGUUCUGACGGUACCCAAAGAAUAAGCACCGGCUAACUUCGUG
This 492-nucleotide ribosomal RNA is filed under the name uncultured bacterium. Its description in RNAcentral is "partial 16S ribosomal RNA". It matches the Rfam family "Bacterial small subunit ribosomal RNA", at positions 29 to 507 of the family's 1533-position model. The record is from RNAcentral.